GGGGUGUUAGCUCAGUUGGUAGAGCGUUUGACUGGCAGUCAAGAGGUCGUGGGUUCGACUCCCAUACACUCCA
RNAcentral lists this transfer RNA (73 nucleotides) under Bacteroidales bacterium. RNAcentral's name for it is "tRNA-Ala". It matches the Rfam family "tRNA". From Rfam's summary of the family: Transfer RNA (tRNA) molecules are approximately 80 nucleotides in length. Their secondary structure includes four short double-helical elements and three loops (D, anti-codon, and T loops). The record is from RNAcentral. Lineage: Bacteria; Pseudomonadati; Bacteroidota; Bacteroidia; Bacteroidales.